GUGUCAGCCGCCGCGGUAAUACGGAGGAUGCAAGCGUUAUCCGGAUUUAUUAGGUUUAAAGGGUGCGUAGGUGGGCGUUUAAGUCAGUGGUUAAAGCCAUUAGCUUAACUAAUGUAUGCCAUUGAUACUGGAUGUCUUGAAUGUGGUAGAGGUAGGCGGAAUGUGUUGUGUAGCGGUGAAAUGCUUAGAUAUAACACAGAACACCGAUUGCGAAGGCAGCUUACUAUUCCAUUAUUGACGCUGAUGCACGAAAGCGUGGGGAUCAAACAGGAUUAGAUACCCUGGUAGUCCACGCUGUAAACUAUGAUCACUCGUUUUUGGCGAUAUAUAGUCAGAGACUGAGCGAAAGCAUUAAGUGAUCCACCUGGGGAGUACGUUCGCAAGAAUGAAACUCAAAGGAAUUGACGG
This 408-nucleotide ribosomal RNA is filed under the name uncultured bacterium. Its description in RNAcentral is "bacterial SSU rRNA". It matches the Rfam family "Bacterial small subunit ribosomal RNA", at positions 505 to 916 of the family's 1533-position model. The record is from RNAcentral.